RNAcentral lists this long non-coding RNA (1612 nucleotides) under Felis catus (domestic cat). RNAcentral's name for it is "lncRNA (ENSFCAG00000051252.1)". The record is from RNAcentral. Lineage: Eukaryota; Metazoa; Chordata; Mammalia; Carnivora; Felidae.
AUGCCCUGGCACCUCGGGGGGCCGCAGGCUUCGCAGCCCUGCUUCGGGCUGCGCAGCCUCUUGCCACGAACGCGGCACAGAUCCCCAGGUGGAUGUCAGCUCAAGACUUCGGCGGGGAGACGGGAGAGGAGCUCAGGGCCCCUGCGGGGGCCUGGGCGUGGAGGGGCCUCCCGGGAGACACGGCUCAGAGGAAAGGAGGCCAGUGCGAGGGGAGAAGUCUGGGAGGGGAGAGCGAGAGACGCAGCAGAUUCAGAGAGGAGAGAGAGGAAAGAGGGAGAGGGAUUGAAGGGGUGGGGAGAGAAGGGAUGGAAGCCAGCAGGAGAGGGGAGCCAGGAGGGAAGAAGGGAAGAGAAAGCGCAGGGGGAAACGCACGAAAUGAGGAGGGGCACGAGGAAGGGAGACCGAGAAGACAGGCUGGGGGGAGGCCCUGAGAGAGAGGCGGAGAGGGGAGACGGUGGCGGGGAGAACGACAGAGCCGGAGCCAGAGAAGAGGCAAGGGAGGCUGUGUCGCCUCCCGAGAGACGGGGCCCUUCCGGGUCGCCGGCAGUGUCCCCCGGCCCCGGGCGCGCGAGGAGCUGGAGACGGGCGGGGCUGGCGGUCCCGGGACGUGACCUGACUGUCGCGAAAUGGGACACCCAACACACGGGGCUGUCUGUUCGGGGGCAGGAGACGGGUGUCACCAGCUCGUGGGGGCGCCCGGCCAGGGGCCUCCCCGCUGUCGGAGGCGGCAGGGGGCCGGGGGCGCGGCCGGGGACCUGGGGGGAGGGGCAGAUGUGGGGCCGAGAGACCGACGGACGGGACGGGAUGAGGGAGACCCUCGGGGACGACGCCAGGCGGAGAAAUGGAGAAGGAAAAUGUUGGGGGGAGGGCGUGGAGGGGGUAGAGACGCAAGGGCGGGAGGACCCGGGCGGGGGCGGGGGGGGGGGGAGACGGAGCAGAAAGAGGAGUAGAAAGUCCUGGAAAAGAAGGUACAGCGAAAAGCCGAGCGGGAGUGUGGACAGAAGGGGGGGGGAUAGGAGACCCCAUGGAGGGACGGUGGGGGGACAGCAUCGGCGUGUGCGAGAGGGCCCGAGGCCGGGAGACGGGGAGGGGAGCAGGGACUGGCAGGUGGAAAGCAGGGGAGUGCUCCCCGAGCACAACCCGAAGAACGGGAGGUUGGCGAGGAAAAGAAGCUGGAAGCGAAGGAGACAGGAGUAGAGGAAGAGGAGAGGCGCGCAGAGAAGCGGAGGGAAGUGGGGGGGGGAGGGGGACCUGCCACACGGGGCCCCCAGAGCGGCCCCUCCUGUCCUGGGCGCUGCCGUGUGGAUGCCACCUCCGUCCCCGUCGCCACCGCCUGGAGGGCAAAGGGAGGGGGUAGACGAGGGGGCGGAGGGAAGCGGUACGGGGUGGGCUUGAAGUCCUGAGGGGAGGAAGGAGAGAAGCUUCCGGAGAGGGUGAGAGGCGAGAGCCGCGGGGCAGGGAGCCGGACCGGGUGGGGUUGGGUGGGGGAGAGUGAAGAAGGACCCGAGCUUGGGUUCAGAACUGGGGGAGGGGUGUGUGUGACAUCAAGAGUAACUCUGAGGAGCACGAGGAGGGGAAUAAAGAAACCCUGCGCGGGGGGUGUGGGGGGAGG